GCCUUAUGUUGUUCUCAAGCAACACCAGACUUCGACUAGAAAUUCUCUGGAGCUGACUAAGAAGGAAACAGGGCUCUGAGCCAGAGCUGGUUCGCUCAAGAAUCUUACUGCACCCAAGGAUCCUGGGACCGCAUCCCCAAGAGAGGAAAUUUGGACACACAGACACCAGGGUGCACACACACGGAAGAAAGACCCUGUGAGGACACAGCAAGAAGGCAGCCAUCUGCAAGCCAAGGAGAGAGGUCUCAGGAGAAACCAAACCUGUUGACACCUUGACCUUGGACUUCCAGCCUCCAAAACUGUGAGAAAUACAUUUCUGUUGUUUUAGCCACCCAGCCUAUGGUACUUUGUUAUGGCAGC
Long non-coding RNA from Physeter macrocephalus (sperm whale), 360 nucleotides. RefSeq lists it as uncharacterized. Lineage: Eukaryota; Metazoa; Chordata; Mammalia; Artiodactyla; Physeteridae. The record is from RefSeq and is a predicted model, not a curated record. The transcript has 3 exons.